AUCAAAAGUAAAACGUAAAGCAAAAAAAAAUGGUUGUCUCGAGAGAAAAAGUCGAUUCGACAACAUAGAUCAGAUUCAGAGAUGAUGGAUCAGACAAUCUCUAUUUUCCAAUUCUGAAAACCCAGAGUAAGAUCCAUCAUUUAUCGAGAUUAAUCGAGUUAGCGAUGUCUUCUUCGAUUGGGUAGUGAGCGUUUUAGUAGAGUUUGAAAAUCUACAAACGAAUAUGGGUCUUCUAUAUAUGUAGGAACUCGAAUGACGACCCACUCAUAACAUUGAAAGGCUUGCAGAAAAUUUACAUCCUGGUGUUCUUCUUCGCCAUCUCACAUAGCCAAUUAAAUUUUAAUCACCAUGAUGCUUAGCAGACUCAGGAUUCGUGGAUCUAAAAAGUGGGAGACAGAAACAUUAUGUCAUGACUAUGUGUUUUCUAUUUGUACUUUGUUUCAUAAGAUUCUCUUUUUAAAGUUUUGUUCUAAUUUUACAGACUGACAUUUGUUUUGUGUGUUGUAGAUCAUUCAAGACUUAGACUCAAUCAUGAGACUUCUUUUGUGAGAGAACAUAUAAGUUUCUGGACAACCAUUACUAAACACUUUUACGUCGUGAUGCUACAAUUUCUCUCAAUCUUCAUCUCUUAUAAAAAUGCAUCAAAACUUUCCUCAUUUAAUUAUUCUGAGCUCUUUUGGUUACAGGGAUGCUUAUUAAGACAGUUAUUUGUGUAUUAAACUGUGUGUCAUGGAUUCAUCUCUGCUCAUUUUGCCCCUGGAUUAAAGAAGAUCUUCCAGAGUUAUAUCAAACGAUCUCUCGAGGACGAUUUCAAGUUGGUAGUUGGAAUAAGCUUUUGAGUGGAGCUUGAAGAUAUGUAAUCGAAUUGAGUCGGAUUUCAAAGUCAGGAAAACAAAUAAAGAACACUAAAUCAAAGAUAAGUAACCAAACCCUCUAAUUGAUUUAUAGAUGGCUCUACCACAAUCUUUUAAAACUCUAAUGUUUAAUUUUACAUGGUCAGGGAAAAAUCAUUAUCAGUAUCUCGAUAAUUGGGGAACUAAUGUGUUGAAGGUUGACUUAUAAGAAAACGGGUAAUUCCUGUUAUAUGUUCACAUAAGUUAAACUUUGAAAAUAGAAGUGGAAGAGUAAGAUUGCAAUCUACUAUAUAUACUGGUUCGGGUGUAUAACUGAAGAAAAUAAGUGUACCUAAGGACUGCUAUGACCACACUGCGUGUUGAAGGUAAUUUAAUUAAGGAGAAGGAAGGUCAAAAUCUCUGCGCUGUAGAUUGGUGAUGUUCGUGAGUACACCUCUUGAAGAUUUCUGAGUCAAUCCGGAGCUGGUAUUUUCAAUUGAAGGCAUGCCCGAGAAAGAACUUGAACCUGUUUGUGUGUUGUAAUUCACCCAGAGCAUGUGGUGUUUGCUUGGCAUGAAUGGACUGUUGUAGAGAUGUUGGUGUCCUAAAAUGACCAGAAGAAGGAUUACCAAGGCUGUUUCCCCAUAUAGUGAGAUUAAGAAUACGGCUGAAACAUGGGGUCAAUAAAUCUUCAACGAAGGAUUUUAUCUUCACAAAUCUGAGAACACCGAUGACGAUGCUCCCAUCAGAGUCUUGCAAAGAACUAAAAACGUGCUCGGCCAAGGAACCCCACAAGGUUGAUUGAUUAAGGAGAAACGUAAUUGAUGGGAGAAAAUAUAUGGCAAUCAAGAAGUUUGAACACAAAUCUCGCUUAAGAUCAUCGGGUAAGGCAAGAAAAAUCUUUCUGUUUUGUAUCGUUGUGGAAGGUAAUUUCGAAAUAAGGUGGGCUUGGACUUUUUAGUUUUUAUUUGUAAUCGUAAACCCAAUUCUUCUUACUUGUAAUCGGAUAACCCAAAGAUUUUUAAUUAAAAGGCAGUGGCAGAGUUGUAAAUAAAUGUGAACUCCAGGAUUUUUUUUAUAAAUGUUUCUGAAAAUGUAUAUAUA
Molecule: non-coding RNA, 1937 nt
Organism: Camelina sativa (false flax)
Lineage: Eukaryota; Viridiplantae; Streptophyta; Magnoliopsida; Brassicales; Brassicaceae
Source: RefSeq, a predicted model, not a curated record